Molecule: non-coding RNA, 46 nt
Filed under: Trichobilharzia regenti
Lineage: Eukaryota; Metazoa; Platyhelminthes; Trematoda; Strigeidida; Schistosomatidae
Source: RNAcentral
GUACCGUUGAAGAGUCCCAAACUAGGACGAAACAGCUGUCCAGUAC